AGGAGAGCCCGUGGACUGACAGGUUGGCAAAGAAAGCUUUAGCUCUGCCAUCUGAAGCUGCUCUGAUGCUGGGGGACGCCUGGGGAAAUCAGGCUUUGUGAAGUUUGGGAGGCAUCAGGAUGGAGCAAUCUGUGUCCUUCCCUCCCCUGGGUGGCCCCUGCACACCGAUACAGGACCUGAGGUCUCUGCAGCAGCUGUGCCCAGAGGAGGGGAGAAAACCCAGCACCCUCUCCCAGGUGGGCAAGGACCUGCUGAGGUCAAUCCUCAGGGGACAAGAGCCAGAGUUUUUGGGACAUAAACCAUUGACACUCCUCUGCCCUUUUGCCAAAUGUUACAAGGGCACAGGAAAAGCCUGGUGGAACUGCACUGUUCUCCCUGGAGAACAGCACUAAAUGUUAAGUAUUUUGUCCCCCAGAAUACUUGGGGUCUGAGAUGUGCCUUGUUUUAGUGUGUCUGCACACCCUUCAGAACCAGCUCCAAGGGCUCCUCUGGUCCCACCGUGGCUUUAUCACCCCGAGGUAAUGAUGAAACACUGAUGCCUCUGCCUCUUCCUGCUCAGUUUAUCAACACCAACGAGCUAAAGAAGGACAGAGUCUCCCUGGAUAUCCCAUAUAAUCCCAUGGCCUGCAGCCAAAAUACAGGAUAGAAAGAGCUAAAGUAAAUGUGAAAA
Chiroxiphia lanceolata (lance-tailed manakin) is the source of this 670-nucleotide long non-coding RNA. RefSeq lists it as uncharacterized. The transcript is spliced from 2 exons. NCBI's taxonomy places the organism in Eukaryota, Metazoa, Chordata, Aves, Passeriformes, Pipridae. The record is from RefSeq and is a predicted model, not a curated record.